UACAGAGGUCCCGAGCGUUGUUCGGAUUCACUGGGCGUAAAGGGUGCGUAGGUGGUAGGGUAAGUCGGAUGUGAAAGCUCGGAGCUCAACUCCGAAAAGGCAUUGGAAACUGCCCUACUAGAGGGUCGGAGGGGGGACUGGAAUUCUCGGUGUAGCAGUGAAAUGCGUAGAUAUCGAGAGGAACACCAGUGGCGAAGGCGAGUCCCUGGACGACACCUGACACUGAGGCACGAAAGCUAGGGGAGCAAACAGG
This 253-nucleotide ribosomal RNA is filed under the name uncultured bacterium. RNAcentral describes it as "partial 16S ribosomal RNA". It matches the Rfam family "Bacterial small subunit ribosomal RNA", at positions 524 to 776 of the family's 1533-position model. The record is from RNAcentral.